This is a non-coding RNA of Clostridium beijerinckii NCIMB 8052, 260 nucleotides long. Lineage: Bacteria; Bacillati; Bacillota; Clostridia; Eubacteriales; Clostridiaceae. The record is from Rfam.
UUAAAAACUGUGAAGAGGAAGAGUACAUAUAUUACUGAAAUAAAGAGAGAGAAUAAUUGCUGGAAAUUCUCAUGAUGUAUAUAUGGAAUGUAGCCUUGGAGUUUUUAAUCGAAAUCUUAAUUGUUAGAGAGUAGAAUUAAACGGAUUGUCUACCGUUAAAAGGACAAUAAUAUCGGUUCUUUAACCCGUAUUAUUAAUAAGUGUGUAUUUGAUUAUACAAAAUUAGGUGGUACCGCGGUGAUUAUCUCUUCGUCCUAUAA